GGAUAACAGUGGGAACUCAGCAGUGAUAUCAGUCAUCAUUACACUGCAUAAUGAAUACAAGUGCAAGAGAAAUCAGGGUGAGCAGUUAAAUCCAGACAAGGGGAAUGUAUUUGUGGUUUGAACUGUCUGGUUCACUGGGUGUGAUGGGCUGCAUCAUUAACGAGUCUGGAAUCGACGCAUCGAGAACCAACAGGUUUCUUGUGCCAAGCGAUGUGUGGUGUCAUCUAAUGCCAGCAAGUUCAAGGAGAAGGUGGACCAGAUCUGCUCGUGUGGUGAACUGAAGGACGGAGGUUGAGCAGAUGUGCACUCCUGUAGCUAAUAAAGUGGCCACUGAGUGUAUGUUCAUGUUCUUCUGCUGUAGCCCAUCCACUUCAAGGUUCAAAGUGUUGUGCAAUUAGAGACGCUCUUCUGCACACCACUGUUUAUAUUGGUUUAUUAUUGUCACAUGUAUAGUGAAAACUUAGUUUUGCAGGCCAUCCGGACAGAUUACUUCAAAACGUUAAGUACAUUGAUGUGAUACAAGGGAAGCACAACUGCAGAAUGCAGAACAUCGUGUUGGGGUUACAGUUCCAGAGGAAGUACAGUGUCCAUAGACAGUAAAGUCCACAACAAGGUGAAUUGUGAGGAUGAAAGUUCAUCCUUAACAUACAAAAAUGAGGACCAGGUGCUAACAGCGAGGGCUAGUUCCGUCUGUCAAAUUAAGGCGUACUGAGUAUAAUAAAACAUUGGAAGUCAGCUUACAUAUGGAAAAGUAACUACAACAGACAAACAGAGAUACCACACUUCAAGUGUAAAAGCAGCACUCUUAGUUAUAAGGUACAAUAUGUUUGUCCACAUCCUUAAACUUGCACCUCAAUAUCUGACAGCUGGAUCCAGUUGCUCUAACCCCAACACCAACACCGCUUCUUUCCUGCAACCAGCAAGAUUUUGAACUGACCUCCGCAGCCCUGAUCUUCCAUCAGCAAUGAAACAUGGCAAACCAGCCCCUGGACUACCAUCGACUUGACUCUGAUUGUGCUUUUUUUUUUGCAAUUAUGUCAUGCUUUGUUCCAUCAUUAGCUUUUCUUUGAUUCUGUUCUAAAACGUGCAGCGGGAGGAGAAGAUGGCAGCACCCCGCGCGUGCGCAGCUCUCCAGUGAAAAAUGAUAUCGCAUCUGUUAAAUAGGGGCCGUGGACAAUUCUGAUUUGAUGGAGAAUGGACGUGAAGCACACAGGAACAUCUGGAGAAAUUUCUGAAACACCUGUUCGCUGCUGUCGUUACUGUGUGGUCGGGAAUCUUUCGGAGGGUAGGCCUCAAAAUCCCCGGCCUUGCCUGCUUUUGGCGACCGAGAAGGAGGUCGAAUCGUUCGGCAGAGAUGCUGCUCAGUACUCGGUGUCGGAGAGCUGAUCAGAGCUCGAAGUUUUCAGAUGACUCAGAGUCGGAUUGUGGUCGGCAUGGCAGGGAGAGUUUUUCUUCCUUCUCCCGUCUGCGUGAGAUGUGGGACAUUUGAGAAACUUUGAACUUUACUGUGCUCACGGACUUCUUCAUCAAGUUAUGGUAUUGUUACACUGUUUGUAACUAUAUGUUAUAAUUAUGUGGUUUUGUCAGUUUUUUCAGUCUUGGUCUGUCCUGUGUUUUGUGAUAUCACACCGGAGGAAAUAAUGUAUCAUUUCUUAAUGCGUGCAUUACUAAAUGACAAUAAAAGAGGACUGCGUGUCUUCAUAAUGAUAUUUCUUUGUUCUACUGUGAAUGCCUGCAAGAAAACAAAUCUCAGGAUAGUAUAUGUGGUGACAUAGUAGUGCAAUCACUUGAGGUCAAUACGAUAUUCUUCUAAGGAGUUGUCUAUUGGUGAAUGCUCAGGUAGCUAUAAAGGCCAAUCCAGGGCACAUCAGCAGGCAAAAUAAAAGCCUAUUUUCUCCUUACAGCUCUGUACUUUUGGGAUGCGAUAACAUUUGCUCAGUUUCCUGUUGAUAUUGGCCUACGAGGAAGUCGGAAUCAGGCUGGAGAGAAUCACUACAAGAAAUGGUGGUGACAUAUAUGUACUUUAAACUUUGAACUUUUGUCUUGUGUACUUUAUGCUUAAUUUAUAUUCUGUAAGUUGUCUGUACCUACAUACAUGUGAUGCUGCUGCAAGCUAGUUUUUCAUUGUGCCUAUACCUCAACAUACUUGAGCAUAACUUAAUUGACUUCAUCUGGUUAGAUCAGUGACCAAAUAUAGUGAGGUCAAUUUAGUCACGUACAUUCCAGGCUGAGAUAGAGCUGUGCCAUUGCACUGCAGCUAAUCAAUCUGUCCAUCUAUUUAUGUUUGUACAGUACUGUGCAAAAGGGUUAGGCACAUAUACACAGCUAGGAAACUGAAGACUUUUGCACAGUACUGUAGUAAUUUUAUGUUUUGCACUGUACUGCUGCUGCAAAAGAACCAAGUUUUGUGACAUGCAAUAUACGAGUGGUGAUAAAUCUGAUUCUGAUAUGGGUCUUUAUUGUGGACUGAGAGUGGGAAGGGG
Long non-coding RNA from Mobula hypostoma (lesser devil ray), 2483 nucleotides. RefSeq lists it as uncharacterized. The transcript has 3 exons. Lineage: Eukaryota; Metazoa; Chordata; Chondrichthyes; Myliobatiformes; Myliobatidae. The record is from RefSeq and is a predicted model, not a curated record.